GGUGGCUCAAUGGUAGAGCUCUUGCCUUGCAUGCAUGAGACCCUGGGUUCGAUUCCUCAGCACCA
This 65-nucleotide transfer RNA is filed under the name Dipodomys ordii (Ord's kangaroo rat). It matches the Rfam family "tRNA". From Rfam's summary of the family: Transfer RNA (tRNA) molecules are approximately 80 nucleotides in length. The record is from Rfam by way of RNAcentral. Lineage: Eukaryota; Metazoa; Chordata; Mammalia; Rodentia; Heteromyidae.